CCUACGGGUGGCUGCAGUGGGGAAUUUUGGACAAUGGGGGCAACCCUGAUCCAGCCAUUCCGCGUGAGUGAAGAAGGCCUUCGGGUUGUAAAGCUCUUUCGGCAGGAACGAAACGGCGGGCUCUAACAUAGCCUGUCAAUGACGGUACCUGAAGAAGAAGCACCGGCUAACUACGUGCCAGCAGCCGCGGUAAUACGUAGGGUGCGAGCGUUAAUCGGAGUUACUGGGCGCGAAGCGUGCGCACGCGGGUGAAAUCCCCGGGCUUAACCUGGGAACUGCGCUUGUGACUGCACGACUGGAGUGUGGCAGAGGGGGGUGGAAUUCCACGUGUAGCAGUGAAAUGCGUAGAGAUGUGGAGGAACACCGAUGGCGAAGGCAGCCCCCUGGGUUAACACUGACGCUCAUGCACGAAAGCGUGGGGAGCAAACAGGAUUAGAUACCCCUGUAGUC
This 450-nucleotide ribosomal RNA is filed under the name uncultured bacterium. RNAcentral describes it as "partial 16S ribosomal RNA". It matches the Rfam family "Bacterial small subunit ribosomal RNA", at positions 338 to 795 of the family's 1533-position model. The record is from RNAcentral.